RNAcentral lists this ribosomal RNA (492 nucleotides) under uncultured bacterium. RNAcentral's name for it is "partial 16S ribosomal RNA". It matches the Rfam family "Bacterial small subunit ribosomal RNA", at positions 29 to 507 of the family's 1533-position model. The record is from RNAcentral.
AGUGAACGCUGGCGGUAGGCCUAACACAUGCAAGUCGAACGGCAGCACAGUAAGAGCUUGCUCUUACGGGUGGCGAGUGGCGGACGGGUGAGGAAUACAUCGGAAUCUACUUUUUCGUGGGGGAUACCGUAGGGAAACUUACGCUAAUACCGCAUACGACCUACGGGUGAAAGCAGGGGAUCUUCGGACCUUGCGCGAUUGAAUGAGCCGAUGUCGGAUCAGCUAGUUGGCGGGGUAAAGGCCCACCAAGGCGACGAUCCGUAGCUGGUCUGAGAGGAUGAUCAGCCACACUGGAACUGAGACACGGUCCAGACUCCUACGGGAGGCAGCAGUGGGGAAUAUUGGACAAUGGGCGCAAGCCUGAUCCAGCCAUACCGCGUGGGUGAAGAAGGCCUUCGGGUUGUAAAGCCCUUUUGUUGGGAAAGAAAAGCAGCAGGUUAAUACCCCGCUGUUCUGACGGUACCCAAAGAAUAAGCACCGGCUAACUUCGUG